GGAAGUAAAAGUCGUAACAAGGUUUCCGUAGGUGAACCUGCGGAAGGAUCAUUAACGAAUAACUAUGGUGUUGGUUGUAGCUGGCUCCUCGGAGCAAUGUGCACGCCCGCCAUUUUUAUCUUUCCACCUGUGCACCGACUGUAGGUCUGGAUACCUCUCGCCUCCGGGCGGAUGCGAGGGUUGCUCGAGAGGGCUUCCCUUGAACUUCCAGGCUCUACGUCUUUUUACACACCCCAAUAGUAUGAUGCAGAAUGUAGUCAAUGGGCUUCUCAGCCUAUAAAACACUAUACAACUUUCAGCAACGGAUCUCUUGGCUCUCGCAUCGAUGAAGAACGCAGCGAAAUGCGAUAAGUAAUGUGAAUUGCAGAAUUCAGUGAAUCAUCGAAUCUUUGAACGCACCUUGCGCUCCUUGGUAUUCCGAGGAGCAUGCCUGUUUGAGUGUCAUUAAAUUCUCAACCUCACCAGUUUUCUGAACUGACUGAGGCUUGGAUGUGGGGGUUUGUGCAGGCUGCCUCACGGCGGUCUGCUCCCCUGAAAUGCAUUAGCGAGGUUCAUGCUGGACCUCCGUCUAUUGGUGUGAUAAUUAUCUACGCCGUGGACGAGGAUACAGACUCGCUUCUAAUCGUCCGCGAGGACAAUACCUUGACAAUUUGACCUCAAAUCAGGUAGGACUACCCGCUGAACUUAAGCAUAUCAAAAGGCGG
RNAcentral lists this ribosomal RNA (704 nucleotides) under Coprinellus radians. RNAcentral's name for it is "eukaryotic LSU rRNA". The stretch from base 291 to 444 matches the Rfam family "5.8S ribosomal RNA". The record is from RNAcentral. Lineage: Eukaryota; Fungi; Basidiomycota; Agaricomycetes; Agaricales; Psathyrellaceae.